CGAACGGACGAAGGAGGUAGACAACUACCUCCUAGAGGUGGCGGACGUGGUAGAGUAACGACGUGGGUGACACUACCCUCAGAUGGGGAUAGCUAUUAGAAAUAGUAGAUAAUACCGAAUACGAGCACAGGGGUUAGAGAUCUGUGAGGAAAGGAGCUAAGGCUCCGCUGAAGGAAUGGCCUGCGGCCCAUUAGCUAGUUGGUGAGGUAAGAGCCCACCAAGGCGAUGAUGGGUAUCCGGCCUUAGAGGGUGAACGGACACAUUGGGACUGAGAUACGGCCCAGACUCCUACGGGAGGCAGCAGCUAAGAAUAUUCCGCAAUGGACGAAAGUCUGACGGAGCGACGCCGCGUGGAUGAAGAAGGCCGGAAGGUUGUAAAAUCCUUUUGAAACUGAAGAAUAAGCGUUGUAGGGAAUGACAGCGUGGUGACAGUAGGUUUUGAAUAAGCAACGGCUAAUUACGUGCCAGCCGCGGC
This 475-nucleotide ribosomal RNA is filed under the name uncultured bacterium. RNAcentral describes it as "bacterial SSU rRNA". It matches the Rfam family "Bacterial small subunit ribosomal RNA", at positions 63 to 518 of the family's 1533-position model. The record is from RNAcentral.